AUUUAAAUAGCUUAUAAUAUAAGAGCAUAAUAUUGAAGAUAUUAAGGAGAUAGGAGUAUCUUUAAAUA
RNAcentral lists this transfer RNA (68 nucleotides) under Arcte coerula. RNAcentral describes it as "tRNA-Phe". The record is from RNAcentral. Lineage: Eukaryota; Metazoa; Arthropoda; Insecta; Lepidoptera; Erebidae.